This is a long non-coding RNA of Ictalurus punctatus (channel catfish), 660 nucleotides long. Lineage: Eukaryota; Metazoa; Chordata; Actinopteri; Siluriformes; Ictaluridae. The record is from Ensembl.
AAAACACACACACACACCAUAUAUUUUAGAAGAGGGAAAGAAAGAACUGGUGAAAAUAGAACAUGGCACUAGGACAAAGAGAGCUGGGCUUGUUCAUGUGCGUUACUGAGUUUAUUACUAUGACUAAGAGCCAAGGUCUUUGGGGAUCAGGGGAGUCAGGCUCCAUCUUUGGUUCCAGGACAAAGACGUCUCUCCCUGGGCAUAUAAGACAAUGAUGGCCCAGUUCCCACAGCUGUUAAUGGUGACAAAUUUUUAUAAAGACUACAGUAAAAAAAAGAUCACAUUGAACACAAAAUGUGAAUACCAGCUUGAAGCAAGAAUCCAUCAUGGAGCAGAUAUACUUGUUAAAAGCAGCCAAAUCGGAGGCCACAGAGAGGACAGGGAUCUGUUUUAUGCAAGGCUAGGAAACCUGAAGUGCCUUUAAGGUGUACGUGAUCUGGGAAUUGCAGUCCAUGGCGGCCAUGUUUGUAGGCCGCAGUGCAGGAUGAGAAAUGGAGUUUGUGGCAAGCACCUGGGCUUUGCUUGUGUUGGCACAGGAUAUAAAAAAGGAAAAAGCAUCACUUUGCUCUGAAAGAGGAAUCCUACAGAGCGAGGCAAGAGUACACAGUGAGUAUACACAUCCAUUACAUGACUCAGCAGAUCUACUGUAAGAGCUAAGAC